Molecule: ribosomal RNA, 492 nt
Filed under: Streptomyces sp. BC596
Lineage: Bacteria; Bacillati; Actinomycetota; Actinomycetes; Kitasatosporales; Streptomycetaceae
Description: bacterial SSU rRNA
Rfam family: Bacterial small subunit ribosomal RNA
Source: RNAcentral
UUCCUCACAAAACGCUGGCGGCGUGCUUAACACAUGCAAGUCGAACGAUGGAACCACUUCGGUGGGGAUUAGUGGCGAACGGGUGAGUAACACUUGGGCAAUCUGCCCUGCACUCUGGGACAAGCCCUGGAAGACGGGGUCUAAUACCGGAUAUUGACCUUCACGGGCAUCUGUGAGGUUCGAAAGCUCCGGCGGUGCAGGAUGAGCCCGCGGCCUAUCAACUUGUUGGUGAGGUAAUGGCUCACCAAGGCAACGACGGGUACCCGGCCUGAGAGGGCGACCGGCCACACUGGGACUGAGACACGGCCCAAACUCCUACGGGAGGCAGCAGUGGGGAAUAUUGCACAAUGGGCGAAAGCCUGAUGCAGCGACGCCGCGUGAGGGAUGACGGCCUUCGGGGUUGUAAACCUCUUUCAGCAGGGAAGAAGCGAAAGUGACGGUACCUAGCAGAAGAAGCGCCGGCUAACUACGUGCCACCAGCCGCGGUAAUAC